RNAcentral lists this ribosomal RNA (559 nucleotides) under uncultured bacterium. RNAcentral's name for it is "partial 16S ribosomal RNA". It matches the Rfam family "Bacterial small subunit ribosomal RNA", at positions 355 to 1375 of the family's 1533-position model. The record is from RNAcentral.
UGGGGAAUAUUGGACAAUGGGGGCAACCCUGAUCCAGCCAUGCCGCGUGAGUGAUGAAGGCCUUAGGGUUGUAAAGCUCUUUCACCCGGGACGAUAAUGACGGUACCGGGAGAAGAAGCCCCGGCUAACUUCGUGCCAGCAGCCGCGGUAAUACGAAGGGGGCUAGCGUUGUUCGGAAUCACUGGGCGUAAAGCGCACGUAGGCGGACCGUUAAGUCGGAGGUGAAAUCCUGGGGCUCAACCCCAGAACUGCCUUCGAUACUGGCGGUCUCGAGUCCGGAAGAGGUGAGUGGAACUGCCAGUGUAGAGGUGAAAUUCGUAGAUAUUGGCAAGAACACCAGUGGCGAAGGCGGCUCACUGGUCCGGUACUGACGCUGAGGUGCGAAAGCGUAGGGAGCAAACAGGAUUAGAUACCCUGGUAGUCCACGCCGUAAACGAUGAAUGCCAGCCGUCGGGCAGCAUGCUGUUCGGUGGCGCAGCUAACGCUUUAAGCAUCCGCCUGGGGAGUACGGUCGCAAGAUUAAAACUUAAAUGAAUUGACGGGGUCAUAGCUGUUUCCU